AACGAACGCUGGCGGCAGGCCUAACACAUGCAAGUCGAGCGAGACCUUCGGGUCUAGCGGCGGACGGGUUAGUAACGCGUGGGAACGUGCCCUUCUCUGCGGAAUAGCCACUGGAAACGGUGAGUAAUACCGCAUACGCCCUUCCGGGGGAAAGAGUUUAUCGGAGAAGGAUCGGCCCGCGUUAGAUUAGAUAGUUGGUGGGUAACGGCCUACCAAGUCUACGAUCUAUAGCUGGUUUUAGAGGAUGAUCAGCAACACUGGGACUGAGACACGGCCCAGACUCCUACGGGAGGCAGCAGUGGGGAAUCUUAGACAAUGGGCGCAAGCCUGAUCUAGCCAUGCCGCGUGUGUGAUGAAGGUCUUAGGAUCGUAAAGCACUUUCGCCAGGGAUGAUAAUGACAGUACCUGGUAAAGAAACCCCGGCUAACUCCGUG
RNAcentral lists this ribosomal RNA (434 nucleotides) under uncultured bacterium. RNAcentral's name for it is "bacterial SSU rRNA". It matches the Rfam family "Bacterial small subunit ribosomal RNA", at positions 29 to 507 of the family's 1533-position model. The record is from RNAcentral.